AGGCAGCAGUGGGGAAUAUUGCACAAUGGGGGAAACCCUGAUGCAGCCAUGCCGCGUGUGUGAAGAAGGCCUUCGGGUUGUAAAGCACUUUCAGUAGGGAGGAAGGUAGUGUAGUUAACACCUGCAUUAUUUGACGUUACCUACAGAAGAAGCACCGGCUAACUCCGUGCCAGCAGCCGCGGUAAUACGGAGGGUGCGAGCGUUAAUCGGAAUUACUGGGCGUAAAGCGCAUGCAGGCGGCCUGUUAAGUCAGAUGUGAAAGCCCGGGGCUUAACCUCGGAAUUGCAUUUGAAACUGGCAGGCUAGAGUCUUGUAGAGGGGGGUAGGAAUUUCAGGUGUAGCGGUGAAAUGCGUAGAGAUCUGAAGGAAUACCAGUGGCGAAGGCGGCCCCCUGGACAAAGACUGACGCUCAGAUGCGAAAGCGUGGGGAGCAAACAGGAUUAGAUACCCUGGUGG
RNAcentral lists this ribosomal RNA (456 nucleotides) under uncultured bacterium. RNAcentral's name for it is "bacterial SSU rRNA". It matches the Rfam family "Bacterial small subunit ribosomal RNA", at positions 346 to 793 of the family's 1533-position model. The record is from RNAcentral.